GCGAGUUGCAAGACUCCCAAACCAUUGUGAACCUACCAUACCGUUCCUUCGGCGGGCGGCCGCGCCCUAACCUUGCCGCCCCUCGCGGGCUGGCGGACCCGCCGGAGGCCCUGAACCCUUAGCUUAUUUGGCACCUCUGAGUACUAUUCUCAAUGAGUAA
RNAcentral lists this unclassified non-coding RNA (160 nucleotides) under uncultured Ascomycota. RNAcentral describes it as "sequence contains ITS1". Lineage: Eukaryota; Fungi; Ascomycota. The record is from RNAcentral.